Molecule: long non-coding RNA, 1899 nt
Organism: Anguilla rostrata (American eel)
Lineage: Eukaryota; Metazoa; Chordata; Actinopteri; Anguilliformes; Anguillidae
Exons: 5
Source: RefSeq, a predicted model, not a curated record
UGCGUGCCUGGAAAGCCGGUCUGUUUAAAACCCAGUUUCUCUGACUAGUGAAUACAACGGAUUGGAGUUUCAGUAAAAAAUGGAACUUCGCAAAACUCUGUUCUUCACUGCUGUGGUGUUCUCUACGAUGACAGUUUCCAGAGCUGAGGAGCCUUUGUAUGUGUCUGAGGGAGGCACUGCUCGUCUGGAUGUGCCAGGAUAUGAAGAAUUACAGUUUCACACUUUAUCUUGGAAAUUUAAUGGCUCUGCACUUGUAAAAUACCUUUCUCAGUCUAAAGGUCUGAUACCAUUUAAAGACUAUACCACAGCAGAAUUUAAUCAAAAGAACUUCUCUCUGCUGCUGAAGAACGUGUCACAGAGACACAGUGGGAACUACACAGCAUGGAUACUUAAUGAAGGAAAAGAGAGAUGUGUUGCUACCAGAUGGGUCACAGUUCAAGGUCAACAGAAGGAAAACUCAAACAAACUGUUUAUUGGCCCUGGUAUCUUUGCCAUCAUCAUCAUCAUCAUCAGCAUCAUCAGCAUCAUCAGCAUCAUCAUCUUCAUUAUCUGGAUAAUAUCUGGAGGGUCCCAGAUACGUAUGAAGUACAAGGCUGAAUAUGCUUCCGUUGAGGUCCAAGACGCAGUGGUUCCAGCCAGCAGUGCGCUCUGUGGCGGAGGCUGUUAAGCAGGUCACAUUCGAGCGGGCGGCAGUGUAGUGUAAUGGGUAAGGAGUUGGUCUUGUAACCUAAAGGUCAGAGGAUCAAUUCCCAGAUAGGACACUGCCAUUGUACCCUUGAGCAAGGUGCUUAACCUGCAUUGCUUCAGUAUAUAUCCAGCUGUGUAAAUGGAUGCAAUGUAAAUAAUGUGUAAUAUAGUUGUAUAAGUUGCUGUGGAUAAGAGCAUCUGCUAAAUGUCUAUAAUGUAAUGCAGAUGUAAAUGUAAUGUGAAGCAGUACUGAAGUUAUUUAUAAACUGAAAAACAUAUAUAUAUAUUUAUGUGUGUGCAUCUGAUUGUGUCGUCGCUUCUGCCGUACCCCGCAAUUCAGAUAAGCGUAUCUUCACUUGAUUUGUUUCUGCUGUUGUUAGUUAGAGAACAUAGUUGUGUGUAAUUUAGAUAAUCUUUUUUAAUAAACCAUUUGUUUGAGUUUUCCUUCUGUUGACCUGUAGUGAGAGACAGACUGUCAUUUCAAACUUCUGUGAUGAAGCGACUGAUGCCUUGCUGUUCCCUCAGGCCGGAUAAAAGCGCUAUAUAAAUGCAGUCCAUUUACCAUGAAAUGCACUUUUUUGUACGUCGCUUUGGAUAAAUGGUAAAUGGUAAAUGGACUGCAUUUGUAUAGCGCUUUUAUCCAAAGCGCUUUACAAUUGAUGCCUCUCAUUCGCCAGAGCAGUUAGGGGUUAGGAGUUAGGUGUCUUGCUCAAGGACACUUCGACAUGCCCAGGGUGGGGUUUGAACCAGCAACCCUCCGACUGCCAGACAAUCGGUCUUACCUCCUGAGCUAUGUCGCCCCAUAAAAGCGUCUUCCAAAUAAAUGUAAUGUAAAUGUUAUUAUUUUAAAAAAUAGUUCCAUGUCCUCAUUAUGAGCUACUAUGUGCUGUGAACUACUAAUGAAGUAAAAACUACAGAUUGUCAGGCUAACAUGUUCUGUUGCUUUUUAUUUGUUAAUACUUUUUCUCCCCUCUUUGCUGAGGCCCCACUCUACCUGUAUGUUUGAUUUGCAUCAGCUUGGAUAAAUUAAAUUAAAUAUGGAAAAGCUUUCUUGUGUGGAAAUGGGAAAGGGCUUUCCCCAAACUGUUGGAUGCACAGAAUAGACUAAAAUGUCACUGCAUUAAGAUUUUCCUUCAGAUCCAGAAAACUUUAUUAUCCAUCUGUUAUGUGCUCCUAGUUAUUUCUUUAAUAAAACAGAAUUUUACUGUAAUA